CAGUAGCCGCGGUAAUACGAAGGGGGCUAGCGUUGUUCGGAAUUACUGGGCGUAAAGGGCGCGUAGGCGGCCAUUCAAGUUAGAUGUGAAAGCCCUGGGCUCAACCUAGGAAUUGCAUUUGAUACUGUUUGGCUUGAGUUCGGGAGAGGUGAGUGGAAUUCCCAGUGUAGAGGUGAAAUUCGUAGAUAUUGGGAAGAACACUAGUGGCGAAGGCGGCUCACUGGACCGACACUGACGCUGAGGCGCGAAAGCGUGGGGAGCAAACAGGAUUAGAUACCCCGGUAGUCCCUGUCUCUUAUAC
This 301-nucleotide ribosomal RNA is filed under the name uncultured bacterium. Its description in RNAcentral is "partial 16S ribosomal RNA". It matches the Rfam family "Bacterial small subunit ribosomal RNA", at positions 509 to 807 of the family's 1533-position model. The record is from RNAcentral.